GCUAGUAAUCGCGGAUCAGCACGCCGCGGUGAAUACGUUCCCGGGCCUUGUACACACCGCCCGUCACACCAUGGGAGUUGGCUUUACCCGAAGACGGUGCGCUAACCAGCAAUGGAGGCAGCCGGCCACGGUAAGGUCAGCGACUGGGGUG
Molecule: ribosomal RNA, 151 nt
Filed under: uncultured Azospirillum sp.
Lineage: Bacteria; Pseudomonadati; Pseudomonadota; Alphaproteobacteria; Rhodospirillales; Azospirillaceae
Description: partial 16S ribosomal RNA
Rfam family: Bacterial small subunit ribosomal RNA
Source: RNAcentral